This is an RNA transcript of Lycium barbarum (goji berry), 7198 nucleotides long. RefSeq lists it as uncharacterized. Lineage: Eukaryota; Viridiplantae; Streptophyta; Magnoliopsida; Solanales; Solanaceae. The record is from RefSeq and is a predicted model, not a curated record. The transcript is spliced from 7 exons.
CUUGCAUGAAAAAAGAGUCGUGUACUAAAACGUGAGUGGAAAGCAGGUGGUCAAUUUAAUGACGGAAAAAGGUGACAGUAAAAAAUAUAUAUUUUUUUUAAAAAAGAAGUUAUUUUUUUCUAUUUAAAUUAUAAAUAUAAAAAAAUCAUUUUCUUGAUGAGACUUACAAUUAAUUAGUCGUGGUGUGCCUUUUCAUCCGUGUGGCCGUCUAUAAAUACGUGUACCUAUCUGAUUAUCAAGUUAGAAAUUGGAAUUACUCCUGUUCUAUUUCUUUGUUACAUAUCUCUGUGAUUUUGUGAAGGAGCUCUAGUUAGGAUGAGUGAGCCACCAAAGUAUGCAUAUCCUUACCCUGCUCAAGGUUAUUAUCAAGGUCCUCCAGUGAUGCCACCACCACAAUAUUAUACAGCUCCUCCCCCAAGAAGGGAUCCUGGCUUUCUUGAGGGAUGUCUGGCAGCUCUGUGUUGCUGUUUCCUUAUUGAUGAGUGUUGCUGCGACCCUUCCAUCCUCUUCAUCUGUUGAUAUUUUUAUUUUUAUCUCGUGUGAAGAUAUAUAAUAUUGUGUUAUUAUCUCAGAAUAAUAAUUCGUUGCUUCAAAGUUGAUGAAUCUGCAUAUUUUGUGUUUAAAAUUUUAGAGAGACUAAUCCUUCCAUCCUCUUCACCUCACCUAUUGGAUAAAAUAUUAUGAAGAAAAUCUCCUAUGAAGAUUGUUAUAUAUCCAAUUUUCUUCAUUUACAUUUUUUGAUGAUGUCCUUCAAGCGUAUCUAAUCUCGACGGUUAUCUCUUUUUUUUUUUUCGCGUGAUCAAGUUAAUUAAACCGGUGUCUUCAAUAACCUAUAAAUGUCUUUUAUUUAUUAAAUGUCAUGAAGGGAACUAGAAAUGAAGAAAUUUUUGGUUGAAAGUGCUUUUCUCCUUUACUGGACCUGUUUGACAUGAAUUCAAAUUACUCAGGCUAGUGAUUUCGAAUACUGAAUAAUCAAAAUAAACUUUAGGAAGGGAAUUAGAAAAGCUACAAAUUUUCAACUUUCGGUGAUAGAAUAAUUAUGUUGAAAGUGAAGACAAGUAGUACCCAGUAGUGUUGGGGUCCUCCAUGUCUCCAUCUGGUUUGAAUUUUCCAAAUGGACAAAGACCGAACCAGAAACACUACUUGUAUAAUUGUACAACUCGACUUUUUUGUAUCAAAAAUUAAUUUGAAUUCUUAAACAGAUGGAAAAUGUUUUCUAAUCAGAAAUGACAAAACAUUGAUGAAGGAGUGGGGUCUCUUUAAAUUAACGGGAGCGGCAUAACACAUGCCACUUUUUUCAAAUUGGUCUCUACUGUUCACUUCAUUUUUCCACUGCUAAAAAGAUAGGAAAGGCUGAUUUGAACCACGAAGUUAAUUAAAACCAUCAUUUACGUUAUGAAUCGUACUAGGGGGAAAACAAAGAAACAUAUAGAGGCGGAUCUAGAAUUAAACUUAGUGGGUUCGAUCUUCAAAAUUUUUAGUAUUAAGCUCAUUAUAUUUUUAAAAUUAGAGAGUUCUAUUUAACAUUUAUUGAAAUUUUAGUGAGUAAAUGUGCACCGGUGAUAGUUAAGUACAUUCAAUCUCCUUCAUUUACAGCUUUAUUCUGUCCUUCAAGCGCAUUUAAUUUCGAAAUUUGUCUUCUCUUUUGUUGUUUCCUUCUUAUGAAAUCACAAUCACGUUAUAACUUACAUUGGUGGCUUCAAUAACCUUAGGGGUCGAUUGGUUAAUUUCAUUAGGAAAAAAUUAGUUCCAUCCUGCAAUAAUACAAUGCUUGAUGUGAAGAGGUUAGGUUAAAAGUAAUUAAGGUAUCACUAACGCAACAAUUGGUUGGUUGUAUAAGAUAUAUCAUCACCGUAUUAGAAGUAAUGUAGUGCUAGCUUGGCCGAAAUCAGAGUACGUCUAUUUGUAAUAUAGAAAUAGGCCAAACCCAUCGACAGACAUCUGUGGUCGUCCACUUCUUUCACUUAAGCACCUAAAGUGGACCUUGUUUCAUUUAGACACCUCAGGUGGGCAAUUCUUAUUCCACUUAGACACUUUUUGCACCAGAUUUUUUAAAUCCCAAGCGCGUGUAUAUCAGUCGUCUCCUACGUGGAUUAAGUGACCAAUUACAUUGUACCAGGUCAUUUAAAUUUUGCCAGCUCAAUUAAAUUGUGUCAACUCAUUUGCCAACUCAUUUUAAUUAGCCACAUCAUUGUACACGCGGGCAAAUCAUCUAAGGACCAAAUUAGGGCUCAAAAUUACCCAUUUCCAUAUACACACUUCAGGUGCAAACGAUUAGGCGAUUUGCCACGAAAAUCGAGGUAAAAUUUUCGUCGAUUUCGUUCAAUAUCUUCUCCAUUUUCACUUAAUUCUUAGUUAAUAAUCACUCAUAAUGUUUUAUUUUCAUUUAUUUGCUGGUUUUAGUCUUGAAAUCGACCCUUUCGACUUUGUUCGUUUCAACUUCAUUUGCGACAUUGGAGAAAUUUAAGGUUCUACUGAACUUUUCUCGUGUUUGUAUGCUAUAUUGUGUUUAAAUUAGGGUCUUUUUGGUACGAAACAAGUUGUUAUCACUUUAUUUGUUUACCAAGAUUUAUUUGGUGAUUUUAGUGUUAAAGUUGGGUUUUUUUUUUGGGUAUUUCCUUGUUGCUUGUCUGUUGUGGGGUGUUGGGGAAUAUAAUGGACGACUAUUGUUACACCUCGGAAAUUUUUCCGUUGGUACGAAAGUGAAUGAACUAGUGAUGAAUAUGAGUGCAUGAUGUCCAUGAGCAAGAAACGACGUUUGAUGACCUUAGGCGAGAUUGCAAAGGUAUCUGAUGUGAAAUGAGAAAGUUGGCUAAGUUAAGAUGAGAUAUAAGGUGAGCAAUACAUGUGCAUGGACGUGGGUGAUUAAAAUGAGAAGUCUAAGAAAUAUGGGAAGUUGCAGAUUUGCAACUGCCCAGUGGUCGUAAAGUGCUAGGACGGACCGUAAAUUGGUAUAUGGUCUGUAAACUAGCAGGUCGUAAAUUGGCAUGCAAAACUUCAACUUUCUGCCAGUUGAGGAAAUGGCUAAAUACGACCUGGAGGACGGACCGUAAAGUGAUUUACGGCCCGUAAACCAUGGUCGUAAAUCACCAUGUUGCAGCCUUAAGUUUCUGGUUUUGAAUAUGGUUAAAGACGACCACGAAGGACGGUCCGUAAACUGGAAUACGGACCGUAAACCCCCAUGGACGACCACUGUGCACUUCAGUUCAGAUUUUGCAAGUCAUUAAAUAAAGGGACCAACACUUGUUUUAUUUCAUUUCAACAUUACACCACUUCUCUCUAAAACAUCUCUCUACAUUUAUUAUCCAAGUUUUCAAGGAUCGUAAGUCAUCAACAACAUAAAACAAAGUGAAUCAAGAGUAAGAACAUCAUGAAAGGUCAUCCAAGUCAAGAAAUCCAAAUGGAGAAAAACUAGGGUUUUGCUCAAAGUGGAGUAUUAUCAACUAAAGUUUGUUCCUACAACUUCUAAGGUAAGAUUCAUGAUAUUUAUAUGAUGUUUAAGAUAUUGGAGAGUUGAAAUGCAUGGAUUAUAGAAAAUAUGGUCAACUAGGUCAUGGAUGAUAAAUAGUGACAUUUUGAGGAAUAGUUUGAAUUGAAUCACGAAUGUUGUUGUGUGAUAUGAAUGUGUUAUAAAUGGUAUUAAAGAUCAUGAACUAGACACUUUAGACGGAUGAACGAAGUUGGGUGUUAUGACCUUGAAUAUGGAUGAAUUAGAAGCAAGUUGAGAAAUCUAGAUAAUGUGGAUAAUGUGAAUGACUAAUGGCCAUUGUUAUGAUAUUAAUGAAGGUAGAAACGCUAACAUUGGAAGAGGACGGGCAAGCGUAGAAUAGUCCGACGAAAAGGUGCACAGGGAGACAGACUUGAUCCAUAGCUGCCUAUUCAGAGAUUACAUAGAGAGCUCCAUUUCCUUCGGAGCUAUAUCUUUUAGGUACUCAUUCUUUUGUGUAUAUAAUUAUGGGCAUAGCGGGGUCCUGUCCCGCUAAUGUGAUAUGUUAUACUCUUAGAGGCUCGUAGACAUGUGUGUGUGUGGGUAGAUGUGUUUGGCCUUGUCGGCCUAUGUUUUGUAUAUCAUUUUGUCGGCCACGUUGGCCCAUGUACAUUGAUGUGGCAUAGAUGUCUAUGAUGUUAUCCAAGAUGAUUGUCAUCCAAUGGGACUAAUAUGAUUGACGACUAGAAUGCAUGAACUGAUUUAUGGAUCACCUAGAUAUUAUGUAAAGCAUGUCAAGGGGGGUGCCCGGGUGAGGAUAACACCGGGUGCUCGUCGCGGCCCUUAGUCGGGUCGUGACAACUAUAUUCUUACUUGUUUUCACCAUGGGGUACAGUUGUGGAAGACCCUGUAGUGGGUCCCACAUACAAAGGGGAAUUAGAGGUCUUUGGUGCUGCUAUCGAUAAAGACCAUUUUAGUCUUAUUGAGUUGGAAGCAUACACUAAAGAUCUUGGGUACACAAAUGUCCUUGGAUUCUACUGCAAAAAGGUUGAUGACAGUGCAUUUGUUCACCUUACUUCUGAUAAACAAUUACUAGGGCUUUUGAAUGACUUAAAACAUGGUGAUGAUGAGUUUGAUGUGUUUUUGGUCCAUGGCAUUGAUGAGGUGGAGGAGUUGCCACAACCAAUUGGUUUGUUGGUAGGGCCAGAGAGUGAUGACUGUAUUAACCCAUGUGUCACUGAUGAAGCUAGGGCAACACAUGUGGGUGGGAGGGGUAUAAAUACUAAUGUAAAUGUUCCAGAUGGGGCUGAAACAUUUCCAAAUGAGGCUGAAACACUUCCAAAGGAGGCUAAAACAUUUCCAAUUCCAAAUGUGGGUGAAACAAAUCCAAAUGGGGGUGAAACAGAUCUGAAUGGUGGUGAAAAAGAUCUGAAUGUUGCUGAAACAAUUCUAAAUGGUGCUGAAACUGAUCUGAAUGAUGGUGAAACAAUUCUGAAUAGGGCUGCAACAAAUAGGGAUCAAUCAGAUGUUGCUAGUAGUUCUGAAUAAGAUGUUCCAGAUCUUGAUGAUUCAGAUGUUGAUGAAGAAUUGAGAAACCUUAGAGCUAAAAAGAAGAGUAAAAGGAACCCCAAUCCUAGAAAAAAAAAGUAACACAGAGGAAAAACCACUAGGUGAAGCUGGUAUUGAUAGAGGCUUUGAAGAUAUUAGUAGAAAUAAGUCUACUAGAUAUGUGGGAAGAUUAGGUGGACAUGAGGAUUAUAUUGACAGUUCAGAUUGUGGUAGUGAUGACAGUGAUGAUGAGUUAGAUGCUGAUGCUGUAAGGGGUAUUGAUCUACCAGCAAGAAGGAAGAGCACAAAGGUCAGGUAUGAUCCAGCUUGUGUAGUUGCUAUUAUUGAACUUGGUAUGGUUUUUGAAAAUGAAAAAGUAUUUAGGAAAGCAUUGGCUGAUUAUGCAAUAGAAUACAAAGUUACUCUUAAGUUAAAGCCUAAUCAACCUGGUAAAGUAAAGGCUAAGUGUAAGGGUAACAAACAGUGCAAGUGGUUGUGUUAUGCUGAAAUAGAUAGAGAUUCUGGUGACUUUAUGAUUAAGGGCUACCAUCUUGUACAUAAGUGUACAACUUCUAACAAGAACAAAAUGUGCAACACUAAAUGGCUUGCUGCUAGAUUUAAGGAUGAUAUAAUUAAGUAACCAUCUUUGAGAAUAUGAGAAAUACAAGACAUAUGCAGGGUUAAGUUAGGACUUUAUGUUGGUAGGACAAUUUGCUACAGAGCAAAGAUGCAGAUACUAAGAGAGUCUAUAGGUGAUUGGAAUUUAGAGUUUGCAAGAUUGUGUGACUAUGCUGAUAUUAUAAAAUAGAAAAAUCCUGGUAGUUUUGUUUGGGUGAGGAUGGACAGAGAAAGUUGUCCAGGAAAGAAUUUGUUUGUGUACUUCUAUGUCUGCUUGGAUGCAUUGAAGAAGGGGUAGAUGGAAGGUUGUAGGAGAAUCAUAGGUUUUGAUGGGUGUUUUCUAAAGGGUGCUUGUAAAGGUGAACUGCUAGUAGCAGUUGGCAAGAAUGGAAAUAAUCAAAUGUUUCCUAUAGCCUGAGCAGUUGUUGACUCAGAGACUAAGCAUAAUUGGAGUUUCUUCAUUAAUUACUUGAAAGAGGAUCUACAGUUGGGUACUGGAGAGGGUCUUACUGUGAUGGCAGACAUGCAAAAGGGUUUUCAUGCAGCUGUAGAAGAAUUGUUACCCAAUGCUGAGCAUAGGAGAUGUGCCAGACACUUCUGGUCCAAUUGGCAUCAAGAAUGGAAGGGUGAAGAGAGAAGAAAAUAAUUUUACAGAUGUUCUAAGGCCAGUUCUGAAGUGAAGUUCAGGUCGGAGCUUGAUAAAAUGAGCAAACUUGGUGUUGUCAGGUGAAGAAGCACCUAGCCAAAGUUCACAAGACCCUGAUGAGUCUUCAAGGCAAGCUGCACCAAAAAGGCCAAGGCAAACUGCACCAAAAAGGCCAAGGCAAACUGCACCAACAAGGUCAAGCCAACCUGCACCUUCAACUCCAAGGCAAACUGCACCAACAAGCUCAAUCCAGCCUGCACCUUUAACUUCUGUACCAGUUUCACCUACAAGCUCAAGCCAGCCUACACAUUCAACAGCAGUUUGUGAUGAUACAACUAGAGUUAGGAGGGUGAAUCAAUCAAAAAGAGUUAGAAGCUCAAGCCAGCCAGCCCCACCUACAGAUAUAAGUAUUCCUAUUGCAAGAGGAAUAACAAGUCAACUACCUCUUAGAAGAAGACAAGUUGCUGGACAAAAGAGAGCCAAGGUUGCAACUGGAGAGAAACCUGCAAGUAGGGGACACAAGAGGGCAGCUGAUGUUGGAUUUGGAAUAUACACAAGUACAAGUGGAGCUCAAAUACUAAAUCUAGGAACAUCAAGCCAAAGGAUUCUAGAAACUGGUUCAGCUUACAAGGAUGCAAGUCCAACAGGCAUAGACCUUGGUUAUAAAGCUAAAUGAUUGAGAUGGAAAAACAAGGAAGCUGUCACUGGCCCCCAAUUGAAGCAAAUGGCAAACAACAAGAAGAAGAAGAAUUGGCAGUAUUAGGAUAUGCUCUAGUACUUAAUUGGUAAUGUAAUAUGGCACCAAAUAAUUUCUGUUUUUGGAUGGUUAUUUUGGCAAUCUGCUACUUGAAUGUAGCAGUAAACAAUUUGCGGUAUUUUAAUGUUUGCUUUUGGCUACUUGUAUGCUAACUUUGAGCUCAUUCUUGAGCAUGUUAAUAUAUUGGCUACUAUUUGGGGCU